RNAcentral lists this long non-coding RNA (2176 nucleotides) under Homo sapiens (human). RNAcentral describes it as "HSALNT0147377". The stretch from base 1006 to 1312 matches the Rfam family "Metazoan signal recognition particle RNA". Lineage: Eukaryota; Metazoa; Chordata; Mammalia; Primates; Hominidae. The record is from RNAcentral.
GGUUUUCUUCUAGGAUUUUUAUGGUUUUAGGUCUAAAAUUUAAGUCUUUAAUCCAUCUCGAAUUAAUUUUGGUAUAAGGUGUAAGGAAGGGAUCCAGUUUCGGCUUUCUACAUAUGGUUAGCCAGUUUUCCCAGCACCAUUUGUUAAAUAGGGAAUCCUUUCCCUAUUUCUUGUUUUUGUCAGGUUUGUCAAAGAUCAGAUGGUUGUAGAUGUGUGGCAUUACUUCUGAGGGCUCUGUUCUGUUCCAUUGGUCUCUAUCUCUGUUUUGGUACCAGUACCAUGCUGUUUUGGUGACUAUAGCCUUGUAGCAUAGUUUGAAGUCAGGUAGCGUGAUGCCUCCAGCUUUGUUCUUUUGGCUUAGGAUUGACUUGGCAAUGUGGGCUCUUUUUUGGUUCCAUAUGAACUUUAAAGUAGUUUUUUCCAAUUCUGUGAAGAAAGUCAUUGGUAGCUUGAUGGGGAUGCAUUGAAUCUAUAAAUUACCUUGGGCAGUAAGGCCAUUUUCACAAUAUUGAUUCUCCUAUCCAUGAGCAUGGAAUGUUCUUCCAUUUGUUUGUGUCCUCUUUUAUUUCGUUGAGCAGUGGUUUGUAGUUCUCUUUUGUAAGUUGGAUUCCUAGGUAUUUUAUUCUCUUUGAAGCAAUUGUGAAUGGGAGUUCACUCAUGAUUUGGCUCUCUGUCUGUUAUUGGUGUAUAAGAAUGCUUGUGAUUUUUGCACAUUGAUUUUGUAUCCUGAGACUUUGCUGAAGUCGCUUGUCAGCUUAAGGAGAUUUUGGGCUGAGACGAUGGGGUUUUCUAAAUAUACAAUCAUGUCAUCUGCAAACAGGGACAAUUUGACUUCCUCUUUUCCUAAUUGAAUACCCUUUAUUUCUUUCUCCUGCCUGAUUGCCCUGACCAGAACUUCCAACACCAUGUUGAAUAGGAGUGGUAAGAGAGGGCAUCCCUGUCUUGUGCCAGUUUUCAAAGGGAAUGCUUCCAGUUUUUGCCCAUUCAGUGUGAUAUUGGCUGUGGGUUUGUCAUAAAUAGGUCUUUGUGCCUGUAGUCCCAGCUACUCAGGAGGCUGAGGCUGGAGGAUCGCUUGAGUCCAGGAGUUCUGGGCUGUAGUGUGCUAUGCGUAUCGGGUGUCCGCACUAAGUUUGGCAUCAAUAUGGUGACCUCCUGGGAGCGGGGACCACCAGGUUGCCUAAGGAGGGGUGAACUGGCCCAGGUCGGAAACGGAGCAGGUCGAAACUCCCAUGCUGAUCACAUGCUUUUUCUUUCAAAAUUGGGAUCCUUCAGGUUGAGCCAGCCAGAGAAGAUAGCGAGGUGUAAAUCUCUCCAAAAAAGAAACCUUACAAAUUAAAAAAAAAAAACAAAAACAAAUAGCAAAGCAGAAGUUAUUAAGUUAUAUAUCUAUAUAUAAAAAAUAUUUUUAAAAGGUAAAUCAUUUGUCUCAUGACCUAGAAUGAAACUAGCACAAUAAUUACAAAUAAUUUUGUUUGUCUAUAUACAAAAUUUUAGAUUGGUGCCAUUUUAUGAACAAUACUGCACUUUUAUAGUUAUUUUGUGCAAUUUUAUAGUAAUAGAUAUUUCUAGGUUCUCUGGUGUUCUUGUACGUGUUGAUUUCUUGUUCUACAAACUACGUAUUUGUAAAAGUGGGGUAGAGAUUUUAAUUUGUAUGUAUAUAUAAAAGUCUCUAUUCUCCACCCCUCGGCAUUCCUGAACCUGCCUCUCUGAGGAUAAAGCAAUUCAUUUUCUCCCACCCUUAGCCCACUUCUUGCUUUUAAAAUAAACUUCUAAAAAGCAAAAAAAAAAAAAAAAUCAAACACAGUUAACAUUGAUUUUAUUUUCUACUUUGACAACUCAAGUUUUCAUUUCCAAGCAUGGCAAUCAUGUUAUUGUGCUGAGGUUGCCAUAAGAAAAUACCACAGACUGGAUGGCUUAAACAGCAAUUUAUUUUCUCACAGUUCUGAAGACCGAGAAGUUCAAAAUCAUGGUGCUGGCCGAUUCAGUUUCUGGUAAGGGCUGUCUUCCUGGCUUGCUGAGGCUGCCUUCUCACUGUAUCCCCACAUGGUAGAAAGAGAGAGCUCUGGUGUCUCUUCCUUUUCUUGCAAGGGCACCAGUUCUACUGAAUUAUGGCCCCAUGCUUGCAGCCUCAUUUAACUUUUAUCACUACCUUAUAGGCCCUAGCUCCAAAUACUAU